This is a long non-coding RNA of Sebastes umbrosus (honeycomb rockfish), 332 nucleotides long. RefSeq lists it as uncharacterized. The transcript is spliced from 3 exons. The record is from RefSeq and is a predicted model, not a curated record. NCBI's taxonomy places the organism in Eukaryota, Metazoa, Chordata, Actinopteri, Perciformes, Sebastidae.
UAUGCUCUCUUCAAAGCCACCAGACUCCAUUCACAAAACAGUCAUUUUACCUCUCAGAACACGGGACUUGCAGGUCUACCUCUGCAUCGACCGGUUAGUUAGUCUGUGUUAGUGUGUGACUUUCUGAUCUGAACUAACGUGGCGUCCACAGCGGUACGUCGCUUAGCUUCCUGCCAGCUCUCCUGUCUGUUUCUCUAAACUGGGAGCACGCCGACCGCCACCUAACUUACCAUAGGUAAUACACAUUGAAUGGAUAAGGAUAUAUAUAUUUAGAAAUGUUAUAUUUUAUUAUGGAGAGGUGUGGCCCUCAGUUUUGAUUGAAACAUGUUUAG